This 327-nucleotide long non-coding RNA is filed under the name Elaeis guineensis (African oil palm). Its description in RNAcentral is "long non-coding RNA (EGUI_LNC038462)". The record is from RNAcentral. Lineage: Eukaryota; Viridiplantae; Streptophyta; Magnoliopsida; Arecales; Arecaceae.
GCUGAUAGAGUUCUCGAUCAUGAUAAAGAUUUAAAGAGAGAUUUCUAGACUGAUCUAGAUAGUCUAAAUGUAAUCCGAUGGUCAGAAAAUUAAGAUACAGGUAUACUACAAAUUCUAAGGGUUUUAGGACUCUUUUGCUACCAGAAAAAGGUAAAAAAUUCACCUAUAAAUAGGAGGUCCAGGAAUAAGAGAAAAGAAAAGAGAAAAAUAAUAAAAAAAUAAAAAAAAUAAAGAGAUUUAGAGACCCAAGGGGAAGAAGAAGAGAAGCCGGUUCGCUCUAUAGAGUACGAAGAAAGAAGGAGAGGUCAUCAACCAUUUUCUCGAAGA